GCUGGGUGCGGUGGCGCAUGCCUGUAGUCCCAGCUACUCAGGAGGCUGAGGUGGGAGGAUUGCCUGAGCCCAGGAGUUCUGGGCUGUAGUGUGCUAUGCCGAUCAGGUGUCUGUACUAAGUUGGGCGUUAGUAUGGUGACCUCUCUGAAGCAGGGGACCACCAGGUUGCCUAAGGAGGGGUAAACUGGCCCAGGUUGGAAAUGGAGCAGGUCAAAACUCCUGUGCUGAUCAGUAGAGGGAUUGCACCUAUGAAUAGCCACUGCUCUCCAGCCUGGGCAACAUAGCGAGACCCCCGUCUCU
This 300-nucleotide signal recognition particle RNA is filed under the name Aotus nancymaae (Ma's night monkey). RNAcentral describes it as "Metazoan signal recognition particle RNA (ENSANAG00000001988.1)". It matches the Rfam family "Metazoan signal recognition particle RNA". Rfam says of the family: The signal recognition particle (SRP) is a universally conserved ribonucleoprotein. It is involved in the co-translational targeting of proteins to membranes. Lineage: Eukaryota; Metazoa; Chordata; Mammalia; Primates; Aotidae. The record is from RNAcentral.